Molecule: ribosomal RNA, 432 nt
Filed under: uncultured bacterium
Lineage: Bacteria
Description: partial 16S ribosomal RNA
Rfam family: Bacterial small subunit ribosomal RNA
Source: RNAcentral
CCUACGGGUGGCAGCAGUCGAGAAUUUUUCUCAAUGGGGGAAACCCUGAAGGAGCGACGCCGCGUGGAGGAUGAAGGUCUUCGGAUUGUAAACUCCUGUCAUUUGGGAACUAGUACCAUAAGAGGAAGAGACGGCUAACUCUGUGCCAGCAGCCGCGGUAAUACAGAGGUCUCAAGCGUUGUUCGGAUUCAUUGGGCGUAAAGGGUGCGUAGGUGGCGGGGUAAGUCAGGUGUGAAAUCUCGAGGCUCAACCUCGAAACUGCACUUGAUACUGCCUUGCUUGAGUACUGGAGAGGAGAUUGGAAUUUACGGUGUAGCAGUGAAAUGCGUAGAUAUCGUAAGGAAGACCAGUGGCGAAGGCGAAUCUCUGGACAGUACUGACACUGAGGCACGAAGGCCAGGGGAGCAAACGGGAUUAGAUACCCCAGUAGUC